GGUAGAAGCUGAAGGAGCCUGGCACCCAAACCCCGUGUUUCAGUGGGGUGUUUUUAUGUCCCUCAGAGGAACAUUUUGUGGAGCGGCACCGGGAGCAGCUGAUUCAACGCGCCUCCUCGGUUGACAGAAUCCUGGAUAUGCUUCAUAGGGACAAGCUGCGAUAUGAUGAACAGUUGAGAAAAACUGAACAGAAUGAACUGUGGAUGGAAGGACAUUCCGGUCACAUGGAAGCUCCUCAUGAUCAAAUUUCCACUGAAGAACUGACAUCAGCAUCAGCAGGAGUGAGACGCAGGAGUGAAGGUGCCACUUCAGGCUCCUGGGGAAAGGACAGAUGUGACUUGUGUCACAGAGAGAAGGUAGGGGAUUGUGUUUGUUCUCGGUGUGUUCUGUCCCCAUCAUUGUGGUGUCUGGGCACUAUCUCACACCGUCAGUGUGUCUGUGCUGUGUGGAUGCCCCCAGAUGGGACACUGUUUAACUCAGAGGAAAUCACACACCUGUGUUUAUUUUCUGGGAUCAAAGCUCAAGGGAUGAGGAAAUAG
This 539-nucleotide long non-coding RNA is filed under the name Chrysemys picta bellii (western painted turtle). RNAcentral describes it as "lncRNA (ENSCPBG00000013219.1)". The record is from RNAcentral. Lineage: Eukaryota; Metazoa; Chordata; Testudines; Emydidae.